This 699-nucleotide ribosomal RNA is filed under the name Bacillus sp. Bac50C. Its description in RNAcentral is "bacterial SSU rRNA". It matches the Rfam family "Bacterial small subunit ribosomal RNA", at positions 38 to 717 of the family's 1533-position model. Lineage: Bacteria; Bacillati; Bacillota; Bacilli; Caryophanales; Bacillaceae. The record is from RNAcentral.
GGCGGCGUUGCCUUAUCAUGCAAGUCCGAGCGAACUGAUUAGAAGCUUGCUUCUAUGACGUUAGCGGCGGACGGGUGAGUAACACGUGGGCAACCUGCCUGUAAGACUGGGAUAACUUCGGGAAACCGAAGCUAAUACCGGAUAGGAUCUUCUCCUUCAUGGGAGAUGAUUGAAAGAUGGUUUCGGCUAUCACUUACAGAUGGGCCCGCGGUGCAUUAGCUAGUUGGUGAGGUAACGGCUCACCAAGGCAACGAUGCAUAGCCGACCUGAGAGGGUGAUCGGCCACACUGGGACUGAGACACGGCCCAGACUCCUACGGGAGGCAGCAGUAGGGAAUCUUCCGCAAUGGACGAAAGUCUGACGGAGCAACGCCGCGUGAGUGAUGAAGGCUUUCGGGUCGUAAAACUCUGUUGUUAGGGAAGAACAAGUACGAGAGUAACUGCUCGUACCUUGACGGUACCUAACCAGAAAGCCACGGCUAACUACGUGCCAGCAGCCGCGGUAAUACGUAGGUGGCAAGCGUUAUCCGGAAUUAUUGGGCGUAAAGCGCGCGCAGGCGGUUUCUUAAGUCUGAUGUGAAAGCCCACGGCUCAACCGUGGAGGGUCAUUGGAAACUGGGGAACUUGAGUGCAGAAGAGAAAAGCGGAAUUCCACGUGUAGCGGUGAAAUGCGUAAAGAUGUGGAGGAACACCAGUGGCG